This is a long non-coding RNA of Bactrocera neohumeralis, 2000 nucleotides long. RefSeq lists it as uncharacterized. Lineage: Eukaryota; Metazoa; Arthropoda; Insecta; Diptera; Tephritidae. The record is from RefSeq and is a predicted model, not a curated record. The transcript has 3 exons.
UUGGAAAAAAUGAAAUUGUGAAAAUUUUCAUUUAAUUUCUACAGCAGGCAUUUCUCAUUAAGGAGGUAAGUUGAACUGUGUAAAUUAUGUGGAUCGUGCAUUUGAGGUUAAAUUCACCAAUCUGUCCAUAGUCCAAAAUGCCUAAAGGACGACGUGUGAACAUCGGCCGCCGCACAAGACAUGCAAGCCAGCAACAAGUUUAUUCACAGAACUUAAGCGAAGAAAGACAAAAUUCAACAAGAGAAAAUGCCCGAUUGAGACAACGCGUGAGGACACGAAGAUCACUAGCAUCAUACAAUCGCUUGGCAUUCCAAUAUGAUCCCACUGCGAACUACAGUGAUGAGGAAAAUUUAGAUAUUGGACAAAUGACGACUAUAUGCCGAUAUUGCAAUGCGUUGAAGUUCAAAAGAGAAACGGCUGGAUUGUGCUGCGCAUGUGGAAAAGUCAAACCACCCAGAUCCAUUACUUACACCACUACAGCCACUGAAACCAUUGUUUGAUGGAAGUGAUCCCGAUUCUAGCCAUUUUCUUCAACACAUCCUUGAAUACAAUAACUGCUUUCGCAUGACUUCCUUUGGAGCUAAUAUCAUUCGAAAAGACGGAUUCAUGCCGACUUGCAAGAUACAAGGACAAAUGAACCGCAUCAAUUUCUGCAAAUAUAUUUCAUUUCGUCGAUGGUGGAUCAGCUGAAUGUGCGGUGCAAUAUACAGGGAACACAACAGUUAAAGAGACGAAUUAUUGAACAGUUACAAGCAUUUUUUCGCACUAAUAAUGCUGUGGUUAAUAUGUUCAAAACAGCAUUGGAACGAAUGCCAUCGGAUACGCACAAAUUUGUCAUAAGAGCGGAUUGUACCCCAACAGGUGAACAUGUGCGAAGAUUCUAUGCAACAACCGUUAAUGAUGUUGCUGCAAUUAUUGAUGGCGAUCCAACUAAAUCGCGAGACAUUGUCGUUCAGCGAAGAAGCAAUAUCAUGCAUCGUGUAAACUAGAUGCGUUACAAUAUCCAAUCAUUUAUUGGCAAUCCAAUGACAGGCGUAUCAACGAAUAAAAAUCUAAGCGCAAUGAAUUACUAUGCAUAUCGGAUGAUGAUUCGCACAAAUGAGGAGAAUGUCAUUCUGAAGUGCCGUCGGCUAUUCCAGCAAUUCGCUGUCGACAUGUAUGUCAAAGUCGAGACCGAACGUUUAGCGUUCAUCCGAUUCAAUCAGGCAAAGCUACGAUCUGAGGACUAUAUACACUUGCGUGAUGCUAUUCAUUUAGAUUGUGAUGUUCAGUAUAUUGGAGUUAUGACGAUUCUCCCAUCAUCUUAUAUCGGAAGCCCACGCCAUAUGCACGAAUACGCUCAAGACGCUAUAACGUACGUGCGAAAUUAUGGAACUCCGGAUUUAUUUAUUACGUUAACAUGCAAUCCAAAGUGGACGGAAAUUGAACGUGAGUUGGAACCGGGCCAAAAACCGCAAGAUCGCAUGACAUAAUCGCCAGAGUAUUUCAGCAAAAUCUAGAGGUUAUGAUGGAUGUGCUGAAAGGUAAUUUUUCCAUUUCAAAUAUAAAACAAAAAAAAAAAUGUCUUUAUCUUUUAAUCACCAAACGAAAUGUUACAUAAAACGAUGCAAUUUGGUGGCGAAACGGAGUUCGCCAGGUUUUCUAGUCUAUAUACAUAUCGCUCAUUUGCUGCAACGUCGUCAUAACUCAAAAAUAGUGAUAUUACAGAAGACGCAUUUUUAGUUUUUGAAUUGUAAAUUAAAAAUAAAAAUUAAAUUUGUAGAUGAAAGUAAGAUUAGGGUCCAAUUUGGUCAAAUAACAUCUGGUUAAGACGUCCAUGUAAACUAAAGCUUGAAAUGUAUAAUGGACCGUUUUCUGUAGCUUCAAAAGUACUCCGAGUUUUUCUUAUGACGUUAUUGCUGCAAGAAUAAGUUUUAUGGUCUGACAUAAUUGAAAUUGUGACGUUACUGCAAAUAACAAAAAGAUUUAUAGCUCAAAACCUUUUGCAAAUUCUGAUUUAU